GGUGAACGUUGGCGGCGCGUCUAAUACAUGCAAGUCGAGCGAGGCUUCGAGCCGAGCGGCGGACGGCUGAGAAACACGUUGGUAGCUACCCCGUACUCAGGGAUAACACUGAGAAAUCAGUGCUAAUACCGGAUGGUCCCGAAAGGGUAAAGAUUUAUCGGUACGGGAGGUGCCUGCGGCCUAUCAGCUAGUUGGUGAGGUAAUGGCUCACCAAGGCUAUGACGGGUAACUGGUCUGAGAGGACGACCAGUCAGAGGGAAACUGAGACACGGUUCCCACUCCUACGGGAGGCAGCAGUAAAGAAUCUUCCGCAAUGGACGCAAGUCUGACGGAGCGACGCCGCGUGCAGGAUGAAGGCCUUCGGUCGUAACUAGCUUUUCUUGAGGGAAGUAAUU
This 395-nucleotide ribosomal RNA is filed under the name uncultured bacterium. RNAcentral's name for it is "bacterial SSU rRNA". It matches the Rfam family "Bacterial small subunit ribosomal RNA", at positions 28 to 452 of the family's 1533-position model. The record is from RNAcentral.